RNAcentral lists this long non-coding RNA (4066 nucleotides) under Limulus polyphemus (Atlantic horseshoe crab). RNAcentral describes it as "uncharacterized LOC111089008". Lineage: Eukaryota; Metazoa; Arthropoda; Merostomata; Xiphosura; Limulidae. The record is from RNAcentral.
UGGGAACCAGAUUUUAUUGCUUUUUUUUAUUUUGAAACUUUUACUUUACUUUUAGGCUUAUUGAAAUAUUUUUCUCAAUCUUUUGAUGAAAUUUAAACUAGCUAUUUUUGUUUACUUAGCUUUGAGCUUUUCCAUUUACUGAAAAAUGUUUGGGAUUUGUUCUUAUUUUUCUUUGGUAGUGUGUAAUUAACCCAGCAUUUGAUUUUUUUUUCAUAGAUAUGUGCAACAUCACACAUGGAAAUCAUUUCCUACACAAAUAUUUUUCCUGAAUAUAAAUCAGUUCAAAUACUGCAAUAUCGCCUUUGUUAUCUAGUUGAUGAGUGUGAAAUUAGACACAUGUACACAUAACUUUCUAAAUACAUUCGAGUACUGUAAGUACUUGGUUCUAGAUGUACUUUGGUGAUAUGGAUUAUAUCCAAGAUAUAUAACACACAAUAAAAAUAGAUUCAACAAAUUAUGCAAGUAACCUCUUUAACAUUGCAGGGGACAGUCCUGUUCCACUAAAACACAACAUAUAAUUUAUAUUUAUUAGUAUAUUUCUAGUGGAUGCUUUUUUUCUACUUCAAUGGGAGCACAAAAGUCAUGACAUAGAAUGAUAGAAGUUUGCUUCUCUCGUACACUAUUUCAUGCAAGUACAGCAAGAUAAUAAAUAUUAGAAUACAUCAUUGGUGAGGAGGAAAAGCAAGAUAUAAAGUUUGAGGACAAAAUAAAAGAACUUUAAGUGGUGAUAUUAAAAAUAAAUAAUUUCAGCUAUAAACAAGUUCUGUUUUCAUGAAAAAUAUCCUGGUUACUAUUUGUAUUAGAGAAGUUUCUCACAACUUUGACUGUAAUCUUUCAUUUUCAGUGUUACUAUUUUGUUAACAUUACUUAAUCAUUCUAUUUUUUAUGGAUUUUUAUGCAUGAAGAAUAGCAUCCUACUUGAGACAUACCAGUAAUAUGGAUAUUAUGCCAUGCCAUUUAUUGAAUAAAAUUUCCUGUAACAACAUUUUAAUUUUUAUCUCAUUAUUUUCCACCAUGUAUGUCAAUAAUUAGUAUUUUCAUGACUGGUUAAUCGAGGUAUUUUCUUUCUUAAAUCCAUGUUUAGCUCAAUGAGUACAAGUUUCAUUACCUGACACUUUUCCCACUAAGGUGAUUAUUUUAUGUAUUCAUUUUGUAUGUAAUUAUAAUUUUAUAUGUACACUUCACCAAGAUCAGUACUUUAUUUGAAAACAGUUUGGUUAGCCUGUCUCACUUUCAUCAUGGCAAUGUUUGUAAUUGCAUAAGAAUUAAUAUAUAGUACUUGUCAUUAUUGUUUAUGAAAUAGUUUGGUAAUAUUAAGUUGAUGGAUUGUAUGAUUGGUGCUGAACUCUAACAAGUAGGUAUCAUUAAGUUGGUGGAUUGUAUGAUUAGUGCUGAACUGUAACAAGUAGGUAUCAUUAAGUUGGUGGACUGUAUGAUUGACAUUGAACUGUAACAAGUAGGUAUCAUUAAGUUGUGGGUUGUAUUAUUGGUUGUGAAGUGUAACAAGCAGAUAGUGUUAAGUUGGUGGAUUGUAUGACUGGUGCUGAACUGUAACAAGCAGGUAAUGUUAAGUUAGUGGAAUGUAUGACUGGUGCUGAACUGUAACAAGCAGGUAAUGUUAAGUUUGUGGAUUGUAUGACUGGUGCUGAACUGUAACAAGCAGGUAAUGUUAAGUUUGUGGAUUGUAUGACUGGUGCUGAACUGUAACAAGCAGGUAAUGUUAAGUUGGUGGAUUGUAUGACUGGUGUUGAACUGUAACAAGCAGGUAAUGUUAAGUUAGUGGAAUGUACGACUGGUGCUGAACUGUAACAAGCAGGUAAUGUUAAGUCAGUGGAAUGUAUGGAACUUUUUAAUCUUUGUUUAAGGGGAUUUACAGAUGCAUUUAGAUUAGAAUGAAUUUGCUUAGGUAAUAAUUAAAAUAUAACAAUUUCUGAAAUCAGUAUUUAUGACAAUAAUUGUAGAAAUUGGUUGCAUUGAUUGUUUUAUUUUUCUCAGUGAUGAUAACAGCUCUAGUUUUAUAUAUAUAUAUAGAUUUAUAUUAAAUUAGAUAUUCUCCCAAAAACAUUUAAAGUUAAAAGUUUCAAAAUUUUUAUAUCCCCAUUGCAUUUUACUCAAUUUCACAGAGUUACAAGCUUAAACUGCAUUUUCUAGUGUUUUAAGUGGAAACAAAAGUGUACAUAAAAUAUUUUGGCUAAUUUUGAAAAUAUUUAUAUAUUUCUUUUUCAAUUUUCUCAAAUUGGAUUAUUACUCUAAAGUUCUAUACAUAAUUGUGUAAUUUAUUCAACAAAAAAGUACUUCAGCCACAAGCAUCAUCAAGAUUGUUUCUUAAAUCAAUACAACAUGUUAGCCUAAGUAACCCAUGAAUCAGUUGCAGUCCAUAGCAAGGCGUGUAAGAUUGAAGAAACAUAUUAGCAGGCAAAAUAGGCUGUGAAUAUAAAACUGUAACACUACAUUCAACAGUUUUUGUAACACUAGAACCCCUUUUUGUUAUUUUGUAGUCAUGACCUUUGAAUAUACUUUGUGAAUUAGUAUGAUAAUUUUGAAAAUUGAUAAAAUGAUCCCAAACACAUUUUGGUUAGUGAUAUUUGCAUGUGCUCCAAAUAAUUUAAAAGUGUAUAUUCAAGGUACUGCUUGAAAGAAGAGACCAACCAAAAGUGAAAGUUAUCAGAUUAAUCUAAUGUUUGCUAUUUACAAAUGUCCAAGUCAAAAAUGUUGACAUAUUCUAGAGCGUAGCAGUUGUUUGGUUUUAUUAAUUUCACUUUUCAAUAUUUCAAUAAUAUUGUAACUAUAUCAUUAUGCAUAAUUUCAGUUUGAUUUUUCUUAAUACUAUGUGUGUUCCAGAUUAAUACCUUGUUUGCUUUAUAACAUCAGUUAGGCUUAUUACCAUUAUAUAUACAAGUAGUUGAUAUUAUUUUACUUGAUGCAUUGAAUGCAGCAAUUCAUGGAUAAAUACAUAGUCUACAUGUAGAUACAUACACACAUUCUAAGGGCAUUCUUUAUUUGAUAAGAAGUUAACAUGAAGAUUAAAGUUGUUAGACACAUGUUUGUGUAUUUGGUUCUGAGUGCAUGUAAAUGAGGAUUAGUGUUUGUUUUCUUGUGCCUACUGUACAGCUUGAAACUAACUUUUUUGGCAAUUAAUUUAAAAGUUACUUGCAAAAGUGCCAGCCAAAAAGAUAGUGAAACAAAAAAUUCACAAGUUGCGUGUCCAUAAUGGAUAUAACUAGUCAACUGGCAUUAAUUUUCAGGAAGCUUCACAUUUUUAAUUUAGUAUUUGUUCAUAUACGAUCAAAUUUUAGACCAUGUUUGUAAUAAUAUUUCCAGAUAAAUGAAAAAAUAAAGAGAAUAAUAAUAAAAAAAACAUGAAAUACCACUUGAAUGCUUUGUCUAUACUUGCUGUAUUACAUUUCAGGAAUCAUAUUGAAAAAUAUGGGAGAACAAAUUGUAACAAGCUACUGGAAAGACUUGCUGCUUAUCGUAGUAUAUUUUUUUCACAGAAAUGUUGAGUUUGCAGCCAACUCCCCCCCUCAUUUGCUAUUUUUUGCACUGGUUUGGACAUUUAUGAUCAUACCUGGAUUAUCAACAAGCAAAAAAUUUCAUUGCCCUUUGAUGGUCACUGCUAAACAUUAGAACCUACUGGAAGUUUGACAGUCAGUCACCACUAAUUUCAAGCCCUGUAAUGGUAUAUCAGAGUGUAACCUGUUUUGUUGAGUAAUUAUCAUUAUACAAUAUACAAGUACUGUUCCAUGAUAAUCUAACUUAGUUGUAAUAAGGGAAUUGUCCCUACUUCCAUGGAACAACCUCUUGCUGGUGUCCAAACGAUGCUCAGAAAGUGUACCUAUUGCAUUAUCAAAUGGCAAGUUAAUCUUUUUUCUCAACAACUUUAAAAGAUUAUUUCUGUUAGCUGAAUAAUCGGAGAUUUGAAAAAUCCACCUAAAUUCUCAGUGUGGCUUGUAAUAUAGUCACCUAUGGAUACAGAUACAAGAUAUGUUAUUAGCAAAGUAAAGUGCAGAUUUUGGGUUAUAUCCUUCAGAAUUUUACCAGUCGGUACAAUAGUUGAUUAUUUUAA